Molecule: ribosomal RNA, 2909 nt
Filed under: Salmonella enterica subsp. salamae
Lineage: Bacteria; Pseudomonadati; Pseudomonadota; Gammaproteobacteria; Enterobacterales; Enterobacteriaceae
Description: 23S ribosomal RNA
Rfam family: Bacterial large subunit ribosomal RNA
Source: RNAcentral
GGUUAAGCGACCAAGCGUACACGGUGGAUGCCCUGGCAGUCAGAGGCGAUGAAGGACGUGCUAAUCUGCGAUAAGCGCCGGUAAGGUGAUAUGAACCGUUAUAACCGGCGAUUUCCGAAUGGGGAAACCCAGUGUGACUCGUCACACUAUCAUUAACUGAAUCCAUAGGUUAAUGAGGCGAACCGGGGGAACUGAAACAUCUAAGUACCCCGAGGAAAAGAAAUCAACCGAGAUUCCCCCAGUAGCGGCGAGCGAACGGGGAGGAGCCCAGAGCCUGAAUCAGCAUGUGUGUUAGUGGAAGCGUCUGGAAAGGCGCGCGAUACAGGGUGACAGCCCCGUACACAAAAGCGCACAUGCUGUGAGCUCGAUGAGUAGGGCGGGACACGUGGUAUCCUGUCUGAAUAUGGGGGGACCAUCCUCCAAGGCUAAAUACUCCUGACUGACCGAUAGUGAACCAGUACCGUGAGGGAAAGGCGAAAAGAACCCCGGCGAGGGGAGUGAAACAGAACCUGAAACCGUGUACGUACAAGCAGUGGGAGCACAGGUUUACCUGUGUGACUGCGUACCUUUUGUAUAAUGGGUCAGCGACUUAUAUUCUGUAGCAAGGUUAACCGCAUAGGGGAGCCGAAGGGAAACCGAGUCUUAAUUGGGCGUUAAGUUGCAGGGUAUAGACCCGAAACCCGGUGAUCUAGCCAUGGGCAGGUUGAAGGUUGGGUAACACUAACUGGAGGACCGAACCGACUAAUGUUGAAAAAUUAGCGGAUGACCUGUGGCUGGGGGUGAAAGGCCAAUCAAACCGGGAGAUAGCUGGUUCUCCCCGAAAGCUAUUUAGGUAGCGCCUCGUGAAUUCAUCUCCGGGGGUAGAGCACUGUUUCGGCUAGGGGGCCAUCCCGGCUUACCAACCCGAUGCAAACUGCGAAUACCGGAGAAUGUUAUCACGGGAGACACACGGCGGGUGCUAACGUCCGUCGUGAAGAGGGAAACAACCCAGACCGCCAGCUAAGGUCCCAAAGUCAUGGUUAAGUGGGAAACGAUGUGGGAAGGCCCAGACAGCCAGGAUGUUGGCUUAGAAGCAGCCAUCAUUUAAAGAAAGCGUAAUAGCUCACUGGUCGAGUCGGCCUGCGCGGAAGAUGUAACGGGGCUAAACCAUGCACCGAAGCUGCGGCAGCGACGCUUAGGCGUUGUUGGGUAGGGGAGCGUUCUGUAAGCCGUUGAAGGUGGCCUGUGAGGGUUGCUGGAGGUAUCAGAAGUGCGAAUGCUGACAUAAGUAACGAUAAAGCGGGUGAAAAGCCCGCUCGCCGGAAGACCAAGGGUUCCUGUCCAACGUUAAUCGGGGCAGGGUGAGUCGACCCCUAAAGGCGAGGCCGAAAGGCGUAGUCGAUGGGAAACGGGUUAAUAUUCCCGUACUUGGUGUUACUGCGAAGGGGGGACGGAGAAGGCUAUGUUGGCCGGGCGACGGUUGUCCCGGUUUAAGCGUGUAGGUGUGUGUUCCAGGUAAAUCCGGUUCACUUUAACACUGAGGCGUGACGACGAGGCACUACGGUGCUGAAGCAACAAAUGCCCUGCUUCCAGGAAAAGCCUCUAAGCAUCAGGUAACAUCAAAUCGUACCUCAAACCGACACAGGUGGUCAGGUAGAGAAUACCAAGGCGCUUGAGAGAACUCGGGUGAAGGAACUAGGCAAAAUGGUGCCGUAACUUCGGGAGAAGGCACGCUGACACGUAGGUGAAGUGAUUUACUCAUGGAGCUGAAGUCAGUCGAAGAUACCAGCUGGCUGCAACUGUUUAUUAAAAACACAGCACUGUGCAAACACGAAAGUGGACGUAUACGGUGUGACGCCUGCCCGGUGCCGGAAGGUUAAUUGAUGGGGUCAGCGCAAGCGAAGCUCCUGAUCGAAGCCCCGGUAAACGGCGGCCGUAACUAUAACGGUCCUAGGGUAGCGAAAUUCCUUGUCGGGUAAGUUCCGACCUGCACGAAUGGCGUAAUGAUGGCCAGGCUGUCUCCACCCGAGACUCAGUGAAAUUGAACUCGCUGUGAAGAUGCAGUGUACCCGCGGCAAGACGGAAAGACCCCGUGAACCUUUACUAUAGCUUGACACUGAACAUUGAGCCUUGAUGUGUAGGAUAGGUGGGAGGCUUUGAAGCGUGGACGCCAGUCUGCGUGGAGCCGACCUUGAAAUACCACCCUUUAAUGUUUGAUGUUCUAACGUGGACCCGUGAUCCGGGUUGCGGACAGUGUCUGGUGGGUAGUUUGACUGGGGCGGUCUCCUCCUAAAGAGUAACGGAGGAGCACGAAGGUUGGCUAAUCCUGGUCGGACAUCAGGAGGUUAGUGCAAUGGCAUAAGCCAGCUUGACUGCGAGCGUGACGGCGCGAGCAGGUGCGAAAGCAGGUCAUAGUGAUCCGGUGGUUCUGAAUGGAAGGGCCAUCGCUCAACGGAUAAAAGGUACUCCGGGGAUAACAGGCUGAUACCGCCCAAGAGUUCAUAUCGACGGCGGUGUUUGGCACCUCGAUGUCGGCUCAUCACAUCCUGGGGCUGAAGUAGGUCCCAAGGGUAUGGCUGUUCGCCAUUUAAAGUGGUACGCGAGCUGGGUUUAGAACGUCGUGAGACAGUUCGGUCCCUAUCUGCCGUGGGCGCUGGAGAACUGAGGGGGGCUGCUCCUAGUACGAGAGGACCGGAGUGGACGCAUCACUGGUGUUCGGGUUGUCAUGCCAAUGGCACUGCCCGGUAGCUAAAUGCGGAAGAGAUAAGUGCUGAAAGCAUCUAAGCACGAAACUUGCCCCGAGAUGAGUUCUCCCUGAGACUUAAAGUCUCCUGAAGGAACGUUAAAGACGAUGACGUUGAUAGGCCGGGUGUGUAAGCGCAGCGAUGCGUUGAGCUAACCGGUACUAAUGAACCGUGAGGCUUAACCUU